Molecule: unclassified non-coding RNA, 277 nt
Filed under: Hevea brasiliensis (rubber tree)
Lineage: Eukaryota; Viridiplantae; Streptophyta; Magnoliopsida; Malpighiales; Euphorbiaceae
Source: RNAcentral
GGCGUGGGCGCGAGUGUGGCACUGUGGCUUGUGCUUUUGCUUGGCAGUUUGCGCCGCACUUCCCAGCUCUGCGUGAAUCUCUACAUUUCCGUCUCUCUCUAUAAAUAGCAUAUACACCAACUCACACUUCAGCUUUCAUUUGCAACCAAAGCCCAUCUUUCUCCACUUCAACUUCUUCAUCACCUACUCUUCUUCCUAUCACCACCACACACAGUAAUCCAUGGCCCCAGUAGCAGCAGCAGAGAUAAAGCCCAGAGAUGUUUGCAUUGUUGGUGUU